CCAAAGCGCCGCUUCUCACGGGACCCGGCUUCGGGGCGCGUCGAGCCCGGGCGCUGACCCCUCGGGCGCCCUUUGCCCUCGCGGUGACCCCGGGCUGCGGCGGGAAGGAGCCGGGAGCGCGGCGCGCAGGGCGUCAGGCGCUGCGUUCCGCCACGUCUGGGCGCCCCGACUGGAAGAGGAGGCGAGAGCGAGAGCGGGGAGGAGGAGACGGACCAGGAGAGGAGCGGGAGCGGGGCGCUGUCUGUUAAAUCGACCGGUUGUUCCAGCUCUGGCCAUUGCAAGCUUUUUCAUGUUGGCUCCUGGGUCCAAGAUCAGGAACUGGCUGUGCUAACGGCUCCUGGGAUGUCAUUACUUCUAGGCCAUCUCUGCCGACAAAGUUAGGAGGAAAUGAAGAGAUGAGAGUGGAGUUGUAUUACAUGAAAGAGAAGAUCAUAAACAAAGAACAGCAGAGAGUUAACAAAAGAGGGGGAAAUGCAGCAUGCUGAACUUAUUGGCGUAUCAUGAUACAUCAGACAAGACAAGCCUCCUGAACCGCUUGCAGGAUCUUGCUUCCCAGGCUGGAGGUUGGCCUGAGCUCCUGUGGUGGGAGUGCUGUGUCCAAACUGCUGGACUAACAGAGAAACUCAGACCCCAGGGAAUAUUAAUCGGAGUGAGGCCUCCCAGACGUCCUCAUCUCGGCACCAGGACCCAGCUCUACCCAAAUGCCUGCAAACUCCAGUGAGGGACACCUCAGGCCAAACAACCAGUAAAACAGGAAUACAGCCCCACCCAUCCAAAAAAAAAAAAAAAAUGAAACGAUCAAAAAAAUGUGUUACAGAAAAAGGAGCAAGGUAAAAACCUACAAGACCAAAUAAAUGAAGACAAAAUAGGCAACGUACCUGAAAAAGAAUUCAGAGUAAUGAUAGUAAAGAUGAUCCAAAACUUCGGAAACAGAAUGGAGAAAGUACAAGAAACAUUUAACAAGUAUCUAGAAGCACUAAAGAGCAAAUACACAGCGAUGAACAGCACAGUAACUGAAAUUAAAAAGACUCUAGAAGGAAUCAAUAGCAGAAUAACUGAGGCAGAAGAACGGAUAAGUGACCUGGAAGAUAAAAUGGUGGAAAUAACUGUCAGGGAGUAGAAUAAAGAAAAAAGAAUGAAAAGAAUUGAGGACAGUCUCAGAGACCUCUGGAACAACAUUAAAUGCACCAACAUGUGAAUUAUAGGGGUCCCAGAAGAAGAAGAGAAAAAGAAAGAGUCUGAGAAAAUAUUUGAAGAGAUUAUAGACGAAAACUUCCCUAACAUGGGAAAGGAAAUAAUCAAGUCUGGGAAACACAGAGGGUACCAUACAGGAUAAACCCAAAGAGAAACAUGCCAAGACACAUAUUAAUCAAACUAUCAAAAAUUAAAUACAAAGAAAAAAUAUUAAAAGCAGCAAGGGAAAAGCAACAAAUAACAUACAAGGGAAUCCCCAUAUGGUUAACAGCUGAUCUUUCAGCAGAAACUCUACAAGCCAGAAGGGAGUGGCAGGACAUAUUGAAAGUGAAGAAAGGGAAAAAGCUAAAACCAAUAUUACUCUACCCAGCAAGGAUCUCAUUCAGAUUUGACGGAGAAAUUAAAACGUUUACAGACAAGCAAAAGCUAAGACAAUUCAGCACCACCAAACCAGCUUUACAACAAAUGCUAAGGAAACUUCUCUAAGCAGAAAACACAAAAGAAGAAAAAGACCCACAAAAGCAAACCUAAAACAAUUAAGAAAAUGGUAAUAGGAACAUACAUAUUGAUAAUAAACUUGAAUGUAAAUGGAUUAAAUGCCUCAGCCAAAAGACACAGACUGGCUGAAUGGAUAUGAAAACAAGACCCAUAUAUAUGCUAUCUACAAGGGACCCACUUCAGACCUAGGGACACAUACAGACUGAAAGUGAGGGGAUGGAAAAAGAUAUUCCAUGCAAAUGGAAAUUGAAAGAAAGCUGGAAUAGCAAUAUUCAUAUCAGAUAAAAUAGACUUUAAAAUGAAGACUGUUACAAGGGAUAAGGAAGGACACUACGUAAUGAUCAAGGGAUCAAUCCAGGAAGAAAACAUAACAAUUAUAAAUAUUUAUGCACCCAACACAGGAACAUCUCAAUACAGAAGGCAAAUGCUAACAGCCAUAAAAGGAGAAAUCAACAGUAACACGAUAAUAGUGGGGAACUUUAACACCCCACUUGCACCAAUACACAGAUCAUCCAGACAGAAAAUAAAUAAGGAAACACAAGUUUUAAAUGACACAAUAGACCAGAUAGACUUAAUUGAUAUUUUUAGGACAUUCCACCCAAAAGCAAAGAAAUACACUUUCUUCUCAAGUACACACAGAACAUUCUCCAGAAUAGAUCACAACUUGGGUCACAAAUCAAGCCUUGGAAAAUUAAAGAAAAUUGAAGUCAUAUCAAGCAUCUUUUCCAACCACAAUGCUAUGAAAUUAGAAGUCAAUUACAGAGGGCUUCCCUAGUGGCCCAGUGGUUGAGAGUCCGCCUGCCGAUGCAGGGGACGCGGGUUUGUGCCCCGGUCCGGGAGGAUCCCACAUGCUGCGGAGCGGCUGGGCCCGUGAGCCAUGGCCGCUGAGCCUGCGCGUCCGGAGCCUGUGCUCCGCAACGGGAGAGGCCACAGCAGUGAGAGGCCCGCGUACUGCAAAAGGAAAACUUUCCACUUAGAACAGAACUUGCCCAGGCAAUAACAAAACGUAAUGCUUUGUUUCACCGCAGCUGAAGCUGUUGAACAACCACAAACUUUGAGUCACCCACUGGCCUAAGCUGAUAAAUGAUUAGGAACUUGGAAUGCUCAAUAUGCCAGAAUCUUCCUGGAUCCAAGUGAAGAGUCUUACCAUUGCACAGUAGACUUUGUUGAAUCAGCCGCGCACAGACUCUAGGACUCAUCCUGCCCUGUCCAAAGUGUAAACUUUCGAUCAUUU
Mesoplodon densirostris (Blainville's beaked whale) is the source of this 2926-nucleotide long non-coding RNA. RefSeq lists it as uncharacterized. The transcript is spliced from 5 exons. The record is from RefSeq and is a predicted model, not a curated record. NCBI's taxonomy places the organism in Eukaryota, Metazoa, Chordata, Mammalia, Artiodactyla, Ziphiidae.